CACAGUUAGUAAGACUCAGUCGUUGAAUUUAUGCUCUGCUUUUGUUUCCAUAUUACCUAAUUUAACCAUUAUAUAGGAGACAAGUGUAUUGUGCCCUUUUUGUCCAAUUUGCAUUUCUUUUUUUCUCUUCACAAUUCUCUACUUCCAGGUAUUUGAAAAAUGAGACCACUUUGUUACCAUGGUGACUCACAGGUGAAGAGAAAAGUAAGCCGCAAGUUUGCUGUGUUCUGAUGGACUGCUGCUUCAUCAAAAAAAUUUUCCCACGCUGUUCUCAAAAUGAAUGGGGUCUCCGCUACUUCCCAACAAAGCCAACAUCUGGUUUAAGCAAGUUCAGAGUUUUGGGCUGAGGAUAACAGGAUGGUAAUAUACCCACCUCCAGAUGGUACACUCCUGGAAUCAAACCUACGACCUUGUGCAGAUCAGCUACUAAGGCUGCAAAGCGCAAAAACAAGUAUCCUAACCUGCAGAGCUAAAAUAACAUUUUUUCGGGUAGGGAGGCAGUUGCUUAUCUUUACUGUUGGGUAACGCUCAUUGUAACAGUUUUAAAAUCAUCUGAUACUCAGCUUCAUAAAAACUCAUCCCAGUUAACAUUAAGUCACACAACCUUCAACAAAAAAUCUAAUCUAAUUGUCCUAACAAGUUAUAUAGUAUUCCCUAUUAAAAAUGAUUUCCAUUUGAUGCA
Molecule: long non-coding RNA, 682 nt
Organism: Erpetoichthys calabaricus (reedfish)
Lineage: Eukaryota; Metazoa; Chordata; Cladistia; Polypteriformes; Polypteridae
Exons: 2
Source: RefSeq, a predicted model, not a curated record